AAAGCUUCAGCUAUACACGACCGUACCGCAAACCGACACUGGUGCGCGAGAUGAGUAUUCUAAGGCGCUUGAGAGAACUCAGGAGAAGGAACUCGGCAAAUUGACACCGUAACUUCGGAAGAAGGUGUGCCCUAUUAGUGUGAAGUGAACAACGGAGCAUGAAUGGGUUGCAAAAAAUCGGUGGCUGCGACUGUUUAUUAAAAACACAGCACUCUGCAAACACGAAAGUGGACGUAUAGGGUGUGACGCCUGCCCGGUGCUGGAAGAUUAAAUGAUGGGGUGCGAGCUCUUGAUUGAAGUCCCAGUAAACGGCGGCCGUAACAAUAACGGUCCUAAGGUAGCGAUAUUCCUUGUCGGGUAAGUUCCGACCUGCACGUAUGGCGUAACGAUGGCCACACUGUCUCCUCCUGAGACUCAGCGAAGUUGAAAUGUUUGUGAUGAUGCAAUCUCCCCGCGGAAAGACGGAAAGACCCCAUGAACCUUUACUGUAGCUUUGUAUUGGACUUUGAACAGAUCUGUGUAGGAUAGGUGGGAGGCUUUGAAGCAGGGUCGCUAGAUCUUGUGGAGCCAACGUUGAAAUACCACCCUGGUGUGUUUGAGGUUCUAACCUAGGUCCAUUAUCUGGAUCGGGGACAGUGCAUGGUAGGCAGUUUGACUGGGGCGGUCUCCUCCCAAAGCGUAACGGAGGAGUUCGAAGGUACGCUAGUUACGGUCGGACAUCGUGACGAUAGUGCAAUGGCAUAAGCGUGCUUAACUGCGAGACUGACAAGUCGAGCAGAUGCGAAAGCAGGACAUAGUGAUCCGGUGGUUCUGUAUGGAAGGGCCAUCGCUCAACGGAUAAAAGGUACUCUGGGGAUAACAGGCUGAUACCGCCCAAGAGUUCAUAUCGACGGCGGUGUUUGGCACCUCGAUGUCGGCUCAUCUCAUCCUGGGGCUGUAGCCGGUCCCAAGGGUAUGGCUGUUCGCCAUUUAAAGAGGUACGUGAGCUGGGUUUAAAACGUCGUGAGACAGUUUGGUCCCUAUCUUCCGUGGGCGCUGCAGAUUUGAGGAAGCCUGCUCCUAGUACGAGAGGACCGGAGUGGACACACCUCUGGUGUAUCGGUUGUCACGCCAGUGGCAUUGCCGAGUAGCUAAGUGUGGAAGAGAUAACCGCUGAAAGCAUCUAAGCGGGAAACUCGUUUCAAGAUGAGAUCUGCCGGGGCCUUGAGCCCCCUGAAGAGUCGUUCAAGACCAGGACGUUGAUAGGUCAGGUGUGGAAGCGCAGUAAUGCGUUAAGCUAACUGAUACUAAUUGCUCGUGCGGCUUGACCCU
This 1311-nucleotide ribosomal RNA is filed under the name metagenome. RNAcentral describes it as "bacterial LSU rRNA". It matches the Rfam family "Bacterial large subunit ribosomal RNA", at positions 1622 to 2925 of the family's 2925-position model. The record is from RNAcentral.